RNAcentral lists this long non-coding RNA (232 nucleotides) under Malus domestica (apple). Its description in RNAcentral is "long non-coding RNA (MDOM_LNC003889)". The record is from RNAcentral. Lineage: Eukaryota; Viridiplantae; Streptophyta; Magnoliopsida; Rosales; Rosaceae.
CCUCCACCAACUCCACUCGUUUUCACAUUUUGUUUUCUUCCCCAAACCUCUCCUUUUCCUUCCUCUCUCAUUCAUUUCCCUAAGAUCCCACACCAUAUUCAAUUCGAUCUCCCAUGGCUGCUGCAAAGAUAAACCCACUUAUCCUGUCAGCUCUCUUUUUGUUCUCAAUAAUGCUCAGCUUUCCCGCAAUAACAAUUCAGAUAAUCCUGCGCAUACCCAUGUUAUCCUCCAC